CCCUUAGAUGUUCUGGGCUGCACGCGCGCUACACUGAAGCGUUCAACGAGUAUUUCACCUUGCCCGGGAGGGUUGGGUAAUCUUUUUAAAACGCUUCGUGAUGGGGAUAGAUUAUUGCAAUUAUUAAUCUUCAACGAGGAAUUCCUAGUAAACGCAAGUCAUCAACUUGCAUUGAUUACGUCCCUGCCCUUUGUACACACCGCCCGUCGCACCUACCGAUUGAAUGGUCCGGUGAAGCCUCCGGAUUGGCGCGCACCUCGGUGCCGCCGAGAAGUUGGCUAAACCUUACCAUUUAGAGGAAGGUGAAGUCGUAACA
Molecule: ribosomal RNA, 316 nt
Filed under: uncultured eukaryote
Lineage: Eukaryota
Description: partial 18S ribosomal RNA
Rfam family: Eukaryotic small subunit ribosomal RNA
Source: RNAcentral